Molecule: long non-coding RNA, 7251 nt
Organism: Columba livia (rock pigeon)
Lineage: Eukaryota; Metazoa; Chordata; Aves; Columbiformes; Columbidae
Exons: 3
Source: RefSeq, a predicted model, not a curated record
CACGGGAGAGGGAGAGAGAGUUUGUUUCACAGUUACUUGGUGCUUGCAGGCUCUCUCUUUUCUACAAGGUAGGUAGUAUUACUUCUCCUGUGUCGUGGACAGAGACCUUAAGGGUAGUGGUUAAGACCUUGUUCUUUCCAGAUCUGCAGCAAAGCUGUGUGGGGUUCCUUAGCCUGCUCAGAGCAUCCUGGUGCUGUGUUGUGGCCCAGGCAGAGCUGUGGGCAACGCAGGAGGGAGUCCAGCUGCCUCUCCUGCUUUUCUGCCUGACACUGCAGACGUAAACGGGUAGUAUUAAUCAGAAACCAUGCCUGAAAGGCAAGUGGAUUUUGUGUUCAUCUAAACAGGGGAAAUCCUGUGCACAGAGAUUUCAGGACCUGGUGGCUGGAGUGCAGAAUGCAUGGGGAGAAAGUCCGCUUUUGCAGAACGUUUCCCAAGGCAUCCAAGGACUCUCUCAAACCCACAAAGCCUGCCCCAAAACCACAGCUGCAUCAAAAGGGGAAGAGUCCACAGCAGAACUCGGAGCACAUUAAACCUUGCAAAAUAGGUCUCUUUCUGUGGCGAGGGGUAUGUGUAUAAAUACAUACAUACGUGUGCGUGGAGGGGGAGCUGGGUUUGUCCAGCAUGGGAGCUGAAAGCGAAAGCAGGCUGCAGGAAUGCUGAGCAGGGCGGUGAUUUCAGGCAGGGCUGGAGUGCGUGGAGGAGCAGCCCGCAGCCGUGGCUCCGCAAGGAGAAUGACCCGUCUUCCCAGGCCAUAAUGCAGUGUAAAUAAAGGAGACUGGCUGGUUUGUGAGCCACAGAGGUAAAUUCAGCAAGCAUGUAAAUGGAAGAGUGAAAUAGUGGGAAGGGAGCACCAAGAAACAGCGUGCAGAUGUAAAGAUGUCCAACGCAUGCAGGGUGCGUAGGCCAAAAGGAGCGUGAUUUCUGUGUGGCAGUAAGGAAGAAUGUAGGAAAAGAGAGUAAAAAGAGGAUGUUAAAAUAUAGCCAGCUGUCUAACGUGCUGGUACCACCUCUGUUCUUGUCAGUGCUGACACAACUUUAGCUGCUGUUGAGUGGGAGUUGUGCAGGCGCCCAUGCAGGCGGUGUUCAAUGUUCAAGCUGGCCCCGGUGAGACUCUACCUGAGGUGGCUGCAUUCCUGUGCGUUGACUCAGGAGCUCUGAGUUAACUCUUUCGAGGAUGUAGGACCUUGCUGAGUGGGUGUGGGACCCUCAUGGACAGCUUUGCUGGAGCUGGAGUGACACUGGCCAAAGGGAUCUUGCCAAAGAAAGGAAAUUCAGGGAUUCUGGACAUAGUGUCUGCCAGAGCUGUUGCUUCAUUUGGACAAGCCUCUGGUGCUUGUGCACACUUUGUGGACUUGCCUACGGUAUGAUUUGCAGUCAGAGCUGCAUAUUUUGGCUGUUGUGCUUCUCCAGCUUCAAGUUUCCAUUCCUAGGACAUGACCAUGUCCAAGGCCUGAACUAACACAGACUAAUGGUUUGCUACAACCCUAUGUGAGGUAGAUAAUUCCUGCCUUAAGUGAGCAGGCAGACAUACUAAACCUCUGAGUUAAGCAGGUGUAGAGCCUACCCUAGAUCUCAGGACUCUGUAGCUCCUGGGCACAGUGGACUCACCUCCUGGAUCACUUUCGAAAGCACAGAAGAAGGAAAUGCCCUGGAGAUCCCGGCUGCUAUCCCAGUUCUUGUGAGCACAAGGUCAGCAGAAGAAAAGCUACUCCAUGCUACAGCUGGGCUGCAUGCAGACAGGCUCCAGUGAGCAAACCAAAACCCUUGUUCCCCCGUCAUGUCAUCCAGGCCAGGGAUGUGGUUGGAGCUCCCUGACCUCCUUUGGCUCACCCAUCCAGUCCUCCUUCCCCAGGAACCAGAACAGAUCUGCUAUAGCCCUCAAGAUGGGAAAACCAAGGAGUGGCAGAGACCAGGGAUUGCAGUAGCGUUUCCAUCUCUGGGAUUAUCUGUGUCUCACUUUCCACUGGAGCAAAAUUCACUUUCACACCCCUCAAAGUCAGCCUGCUGUGGAAGUGAUGGAGAGAGAGGAGAGCAAGCAGGUAAUGCAGCAGGGGAGCAUUUCUAUGCACCUUUCCUGGGUAGAAGCAUCCUCUCCGUUCCCAUCACUUUCAGGACCAGCUGUGAUUUCUGGCCAUGCCACACACAGCCAUCACCCUCUGGGUUCCUUUCCCUUUCAUUGUCCCUCUGGAGAACAAGACUCCUGUUAAAAACCCUGCAAGUAUCACUGAGAGCCAGCCCUAUUAUUCACCAGCCAGUGAAGCAAGACAGGCGUAUUCUCCCACAACCUAGGGAUGCCCCUCUGAGCUGUUACCAAUGGGGCUAUCUUUAAUGGGAUCAGAGCCUGCCCUUUUCCACAUCCCAGUGGGACAACACCUGCCCACCAGAGAACAAAGAGGAAACCUGUUGUGAUGGGAAAAAAGACAGAGUUCUCCCCAGAGAGGCAGCGAGGCUGUUUGAUUAAGAGCAUCUUUCUCCCAGCCAGCUGGUUUGCUACCAAAACAACCAACUAAACUUAAUCUUUAUGCAAGAGAGAAAAGCCUCUGUGAAGCAAAUGCCACAGGUCCAGUUUUAGUCUCCUAUGAGAAAUCUAUGGAAAUCUUUGCAGAAAAAAGGCUGUAGGAGCAGGAGGAAAAGAUAUUUUUGCCUAAAACCACUAUUUUAAAUUUAUUUUUUAAAGUAAAUUCAAAGCAAUAUUUAAAAUGCUGCAGCAAAGAUAUCUAACCAGAAGCUUCAUCUCUAACUUGUCCUCCUCAAAAGACCCAGCAGUUACCCACUGCUGUACAUUUCUCUCAAGCUGUGUGUCUCAGGGAUCUCAAUACAUCUUUGCAGAGAUGCAGGAUGCCAGCCAGGCAGCUCUAAUUCCAGCUGUGCCUUCUGCACGAAUGUCCCCUGGAGACUGACUGUCCCACGUGUGCACAUCUGCCCCAGGAGUGCCCUUCGUCUGGAGCAUCCCAGCCCUGGGGUGACGAGCUAGGACAGGGCCAACCAACACACAUCUCCUCAACAGCUCUGCCGGACUCCAAACCGGGCUGUGCCUGCUUUUUGGCUGUCCAUUUCUCGAAUCGGAGACCAUGGGCUUGGUUGCCAAUACUUAUCCCAUGAGCGUAGGUGCAGGCUCCAAGGGGGCCAGAAGAAAGUUAUCUGUGUCCCAGGGGCCACUUUGUGCUACGUGGUUCAUUAGUCUGUCCAGAGUUAGGGUGGAAGAACUCAGGCAUGCUUGGAUGUGUUUGUGCAUCCCAGUUUCUUUGGCAGUUCUGUGAUUCUGGCAGAAGUGUAAUUGUGAGCGGAGCUUUAUUCCAGUGGAUGCAGCACGUAACAAGAAGUUCACCUUCAGUUAGAGAGGAUCUUAAUAUGACCUUCCGUAAAAAAGGGGCAUUGUUUUGAGUUGUUAAACAGCUGCUGUGUUCUACCUCAGUAAUGGUUGCAGUUCAGCAGUGAAUAAUAUAGGCUUUAGAUAAACAGCCGGUAAAAUAAUUUGGGAUCCUUCCUGGUGGGGGGAAGCAGGCAAGUUACUCUACAAAAAUAAAUGAUUAUUCUCUCUGCCUAGGAAAUGAAGUGGUCUUUUCAUCACCAAGUGGGCUGGCGCAUAAAAUCUCUUCCCGCUCUUGUGCGCUGGAAACAGCCCGAUGCCGUUUGUGGGACUCUCACCAUCUUCACCUUCGCAGGAAGCAACAGGCUGUUUUAGUUCGGAUUCAUGCAUCCUCUCUCUUUUCUCCUGCGAACCUUGUCUGCUUUUCCAUCUCAUCCCCAAUAUUCUUAAAAAUAACCCUCCCAAAAUGCCUAUCUACUGUUCUGCAUGGGCACGGACACCAUCUCCUUUUUUUGAGCAGUCACAACGUGACUCCAAAUCUCUCCCUCCCGCGAAGCACCGAGUGUCCGCUCCGUACACGCCGCGCCUGCCGCGCUGGGGCAGGACGGCAGAGCGCCGGGCCUUGGGUCUUGGCCUCCAUCGGAUGAACAAUUUCCCGUUGAAGGUUACUCACUUCCUGUUUUCCGUAUUUAGACAAUCUGGGGAGGCUUUGAUUUGUUGUAAACUUCAGCUGGUUUAAACGUUAAGUCGCGGGAGACCGAGGCGGGGGUGGGGAGGAGGGGAAAAGCCUGGAGACAAAUUAGGGCUAUUUCAUACCGUGACUGUGUUCUGUCGCUGUUUUGCAGUGCCCAUUGGAGCAUGUGAAAGGAAGGUCAGGGGCUGACAGCAUGGGAGAUGGAGACAGGGCUGCUUCACACCGCGCUGCGUGUGCGCGGGGCUCCGUGUGCGCGCACGGCAUCGGGAGCAGCCGGGCAAUCCGCUCCAAUGACUCAUUUCUCCAGUGUGUCAUCUUUGCUGCACACAGCGGGAUGGAGAUGCUAAGGGCAGGGCAACAGGUCAGCAGGGAGGAGGCUCUAACCUGGAGAGGAGAGUGCUGUGCCCUUUCCCAGCGCCUAUCAGCACACACCACACGCUGAUGUUUGUUAGAACUUGCCCAGAAGUCUGCUAGGCUGGAGCGAGUCAACGCUUGUACACAGCUGAUAGGGCAGGUCAUGUCUUUUUUCUGCCUGUUUUGCAAGGGGAAACUGAGGCGUGGAGUGCUGUAACUUUGCUCAUUAUCAGAAAGUGUGUGAGGGAUUGGGGUGAGUCCUGGCAUAGGUCAAGCAAUGGUCUGUCUCCAGGGAUGUGCUUCUUCAUGAGGAACAUCUUCCCUGUGCUGGUGGGAGUUAUGCUUGCAGAGAGGAAAAUACUGCACAGCCCAGAGUGCCUGUGGGUACAAAGGUGAUGUGAAUGGUUUUGGUCUAUUCCUUUUUGUUCAUCUGGUUCUCUUCUAGCAGAUUAGUUCUCAAAAUUAUUGCUUUUACUUCCAGAUUUUACAAGGGAGAAAAAAAAAAAAAAAGAGGAGAGGAGAGAAGCAGGAUAAUAAGUGGGACUAAAACCAUGGACUUCAUUGGGGCAAACUUUGGCUUCUUCAAGGUUCUACUUGGAAGAAUCCCAUGGGUUGGAGCUCUAGAAGGUAAGGGAGUCCAAGAGAGCUGGCUAAUAUUCAAACAUCACCUCCUCCAAGCUCGAGACCGAUGUAUCCCUACGAGCAAGAAAUCUAAUUAAGGGAGUAAGAGGUGAGGAAGGCCAGGUUCCACUUCAAAGUACAUUUGGCCAGGGAUGUCAAGGACAACAAGAAGGGCUUCUUCAAGUAUGUCGGCAGCAAAAGGAAGGUGAGGGAAGACAUAGGUCCACUGCUGAAUGAGAUGGAUGCCCUGGUGAUGCAUGAUACAGAGAAGGCAGAGUUCCUGAAUGCCACCUUCGCUUCUGUCUUUACUGCGAAGGCCGGCCCUCAGGAAUCCCAGACUCUAGAGAUAGGGAAGAAAGUCUGGCAAAAGGAAGACUUUCCCUUGAUUGAGGAAGAACAAGUCUACGCAAAAAAAUCCAUGGGUCCCGAUGGGAUGCACCCACAAGUGCUGAGAGAGUUGGCAGAUAUUAUUCCUAAGCUGCUCUUCAUCAUCUUUGAAAGGUUGUAGAGAACAGGAGAGGUGCCUGAUUACUGCAAGAAAGACAACGUCACUCCAGUCUUCAAAAAAAGCAAGAAAGAUGACCCAGGAAACUACAGGGCAGUCAGCCUCAUGUCCAUCCCUGAAAAGGUGAUGGAGCAACUUAUUCUGGAUGUCAUGUCCGAGCAUGUGGAAGAGAAAGUUAUCAGGAGUAGUCAGCAUGGAUUCACCAAGGGGAAAUCAUGUUUAACCAACCUGAUAGCCUUCUAUGAUGGUAUGACUGGCUGGGUAGAUGAGGGAAGAGCAGUGGAUGUUGUCUACCUUGACUUCAGCAAGGCCUUUGACGCCGUCUCUCGUAACAUCUUCACAGGCUGGUUUCCAAGGGGAGAUGUCACACCACAAAACUUCCCUCUGUGCCCUGCCGCAGUUGGUACUGAUUUGACCGUCUCUGUGGAGAAGCCAAGGAUCAAAUAGAUGCUCCAUGGCACCAGAGUGUUUUCUUUGCAGCCCGCAGGAACCGCUGAAGACCCCGCUCAGAAGAGGCUCCUCGGGGCGCUGGGGGUGCAGCCCCUCCCAAUUGGGGUUAGGGCCCCAAUUCUGCGAGCGGGUCGCACAGACUCUGCUCAGCGCCCGCACAGGGGACACCAAGGUAAACCCUUAUCAAAGUGUGAACGGGUGUGCAAUGUGCAACCAAAGCAAAUAGCUGAUUCUAAAUUAUUUUCAAGUGAUGUUUGUUCUCCUGUUCGCUCCUCAUCUCUGCUAUUCAAAUACAAAGGGAGAACGACUGAGUUUAGUUCUAACCCCGUUUUAAGCCUGUCUGAAAAUGAGCACGUUUUUUUUUUAAAUGAAGCUUGCACGGUAUGCUAUAAACUGCCCUCUUUUUUUUUUUUUUAUGGAUGUUUGCACUAAGCCUUGCUAAACAAGUUAGAGAGAUGAUUAACUCAUCUGAAGCGGCGCGGGAAGGCUUCGUCCCGGCUGUGUGUGCUUUCUUCAGCACACGUAGAGCCGCCGCGACUCCUUGGCGUUGUCGAGCAGGGCUCGCAAACAGGGCUGGGGCUGCACGGGUAAGGAGAAGCAGUGGCAGAAAGGGCUGGAAUUUGCACACACAUGCUGAAAAAGGAACUCAGGUUAUUUUUUUCCUUAAUGAGUAAAGAGUUAUCCCCAAGUCGGUUUCCACAGAAGUGAGACGCAGCUCCCUGGGGUGCGGGGGGGGGUUUGAAGGAGGAAACCCAAAGUUCAUGAGCAGUUUUCUUGAAAAUAUUGUUUUAAUAGCACCAGUACUCAGCCCCACACGCGGAAGAGGGACUUUGCAAGGCUUCACUUUGCUUUGUAGAGCCCUGAGGAGUUCCUUGUGUGGGUCACACUCGACCGUGUGGUGAAAACAGACGCAAAGUUCUGGCCACGGGUGAACUGCCCGGUGAGCACCCACUGCUGCACCCCACAUCCCCCCGAGCAGCUCUGGGUCACCCCCCAUCGCUCCCUUCACCCCACGGAUGAUGCCAAAUGGUAAGAAACAGGUUCCCAGGUUGACGGCAGCGCAAGAACCUGGAGAGCUUCGCCCCGUCUCACACGGGCCCUGCCUUGAAACCUAUCAAGGCAGACGGCCCCUUUGCCGUGUUUUAAACCUUGUUUUUAAUUGAAAAGUAUUUCUCCAAACACUUUAAAAAAAAAACAACAAAAGCCUGGAGAAAAACAGCACUUCAUCAUCUGCAACGCGGCUGCUGCCGUAGAUUUUUAACCUGGUUUAGAAACUUCAGCGCAUUUAACUGCGCGACCUCGUCACCCCAAAACGGC